AUGGUUUCCAGGCCUGCAGGGGAAGCAGAGGUGACAGAUUUUGAGUUUGGAAGAACUUCGGGGCAGUGGGGCCAAACUCCAGACCACCAGGGAAUUGUGGGAAACAGAGCCACACUGCAGCAGAGCAGGGGAUCGUGGAUAAUGAAGUCAGGCUUCAUUCAGCUCUACAGAAGUUGCAGGCUCCUAGCUUACAGAGCUUCCUGCAGCAGCAGGCUCAGCUGGAGCUCCUGGCCAGACGAGUCACCCUGCUGGAAGCCAUCAUCUGGCCAGAACCAGAGGGGUCGGGGGCAGGCCCUGCCGGCACGGGCACUCCCAGCCUCCUGCGGGGCAAGAGGGGAGGACACGCGGCCAACUACCGGAUCGUGGCCCCCAGGAGCCGCAACGAGAGAGGCUGAGGGCGGGGGCGGCCCUAGGGGCAGACCAGGCCAGGCUUCCCUUCCCAGCCUGGAUUUGGCCAACUGCCUCCAGGGACCGCCCAUCCGUAUUUAUUAAUGUCCUCAGGGUCCCUUCUGCCCCUAGGCCUUUGGGAUGGGCAAGUCUUGGUCCUGACUCCCCCUGUAAGCCGAAUAGGAAACUGAGAAAGCACAGUGGCCUGAGAGGGAGGGGCAGCCCAGGCAAGAGGUGAGGCCUUGCUCAGGGCCCUGGGCCUCCACCUCCCUCUGUGAACUUGGAUGCUGCAGGCCUGCAGAGAAGGAGUGGUGGGUUCGAGUCUUAUCAGCUGCCCAAGCCUCGGGGCCUGUAGGCGCUGAAGGGAGCCAGGAGCUGGGGCUCUGCUGGGCCCUUGGCACAUGCAGAGCUGAUGGGGAAGGGCUCACCUCCCCCUCCUCCCCAACCAAACCUUGGGGAGCCCAACACAUCCUCUCCUUGAUUACUGGUGCUGGGUCCCCACCCUGAGCUCAAUAGGCAGGACGCAGGGAUUUCUUGCAUAGGUCCUGCCCCCGAAGCCCCCAGCCCCUCCCAUGUCCCAUGUGGGGGUGGGGGCAUGGAGAGGGAGGGGGCCCCCUGGAGGUAGACAUCUCCAGCCAAUAAAGGCCCCCAGUCUAAUGUCCCCUUGGUGUGU
Molecule: long non-coding RNA, 1060 nt
Filed under: Vulpes vulpes (red fox)
Lineage: Eukaryota; Metazoa; Chordata; Mammalia; Carnivora; Canidae
Description: lncRNA (ENSVVUG00000025789.1)
Source: RNAcentral